AAAAUUGGUGACAAGGAAAUUUGAGGAAGAGGUAUGUAGGUAGACCUCUCUGAAUGGGUAAAUAAUGUGAAGAUAUUUGUAUCCCAUGUGAAUGCUCACCAAAGGGUGACCUCAGCAGAGGAGGAUUUUAAUAAUCAAGUAGAUAGGAUGACCCAUUCUGUAGAUACCUGUCAACCCCUUUCCCCAGCCACCCCCAUAAUCAUCCAAUGAGGUCAUAAACAAAGAGGCCAUAGUGGCAGGGAUGAAGGUUAUGCAUGGGGUCAGAAACAUGGACUUCCACUCACCAAGGCUGAGCUGGCUACUGCCACUGCUGAGUGCCCAAUAUGCCAGCAGCAGAGACCAACACUGAGUACUGAUAUGGCACCAUUCCCUGGGGUGCCAUCAAGCUUCCUGGUAGCAGGUUGAUUAUAUUGAACUGCUUCCAUCAUGGAAGGGGUAACAUUUCAUCCUUACUGGAAUAGACAGUUACUCUCAAUACAGAUGUGCCUUUUCUGCAAAGACUGCUUCUGCCAAAACUACCAUCUGAGGACUUACAGAAUGCCCUAUCCACCACCAUGGCAAAGAAGGGAGUUAUGGUGCUGGGUGAGGAGAUCAGUCCUGAUUACCAAGGGGAAAUUGGACUACUGUUCCACAAUGGAGGAGCUGGAAUGUCGGUCCUCUGCCCUCAGAAUGGGACUUUUUUACACCAUUGGCUCCUGUGUUCUCAGGACUUCAGACUCAAACUGAAUUACGUCACUGGCUUUCCUUGGUCUCCAGCUUGCAGAGGGUAGAUUAAAGGACUUCUCAGCCUCCAUAAUCACACGAGCCAAUUCCUUAUAUCAUAUUAUA
Equus caballus (horse) is the source of this 828-nucleotide non-coding RNA. NCBI's taxonomy places the organism in Eukaryota, Metazoa, Chordata, Mammalia, Perissodactyla, Equidae. The record is from RefSeq and is a predicted model, not a curated record.